GCCAGUGCUAUCAGUCUAAUUGUUCUUGAUUCUGUUCUCCUGUGCCAUUUGGUUUGUGAAUUAAUACGUUAUUUCUUCAUUAAACCAUCAUCAUUAUUCAACUAUCUGGAUCCACCACAUCCAACUUACCACCUCCAUUACUGCAUAUUAUGACAGAUUGUCAUAGAAACUCUUACCGAUUGCGUAGCAGAGAGCAAAGUUUAUGGUCCACCAUGUUUGUGGUGAGCUGUACAGCUAUUGAAGCCAGACCAUGGCACUACCACCACUACAUCUGGUGUAUUGCAAAUCCAAGUAAAAAAAACAACAAAAAAACAUGCUUCACACUGGAGAUGAACUCGGAUCUCGUUGUCUUAAUCCACCAUCAUCCCUCUAAAUCUGUGAAAGCUGAAUUGCCUUCUGGUACAAUGGAAAGAAUGCACUUGUUGGUUGGUGUCAAAGUUGUGGCAAGCUUCAUUAUGAAUGUAUU
This is a long non-coding RNA of Gambusia affinis (western mosquitofish), 466 nucleotides long. RefSeq lists it as uncharacterized. NCBI's taxonomy places the organism in Eukaryota, Metazoa, Chordata, Actinopteri, Cyprinodontiformes, Poeciliidae. The transcript has 3 exons. The record is from RefSeq and is a predicted model, not a curated record.